RNAcentral lists this ribosomal RNA (119 nucleotides) under Salmo salar (Atlantic salmon). The record is from RNAcentral. Lineage: Eukaryota; Metazoa; Chordata; Actinopteri; Salmoniformes; Salmonidae.
GCUUACGGCCAUAUCAGCCUGGGUACGCCCGAUCUCGUCUGAUCUCGGAAGCUAAGCAGGGUCCGGCCUGGUUAGUACUUGGAUGGGAGACCGCCUGGAAAUACCAGGUGCUGUAAGCA